Eubalaena glacialis (North Atlantic right whale) is the source of this 189-nucleotide long non-coding RNA. RefSeq lists it as uncharacterized. The transcript has 3 exons. Lineage: Eukaryota; Metazoa; Chordata; Mammalia; Artiodactyla; Balaenidae. The record is from RefSeq and is a predicted model, not a curated record.
AGUUCUCAUACUGGAGGGCCUGACACCAUAGUUGAAGAUAAAAGAGUGACACAUCUGUGUGUUUGUGUUUGGCGAUCACUAACAAGGCCAUCAAUAAGAGUCUACCACACAAUACUCUUAUGUCAGCAGAGCAGUGUCCAGUAGAGCAAGAAGACGACAAUCUCAAGAGCACAGUGAGCUGUUCCCUAU